Molecule: ribosomal RNA, 223 nt
Filed under: Goniomonas pacifica
Lineage: Eukaryota; Cryptophyceae; Goniomonadida; Goniomonadaceae
Description: partial Bacterial large subunit ribosomal RNA
Rfam family: Bacterial large subunit ribosomal RNA
Source: RNAcentral
GGGGGAUGCCUUGGCUCUCAGAGACGAUGAAGGACGUGUUAAGCUGCGAUAAGCUACGGGGAGCUGCACAAAAGCAUUAAUCCGUAGAUUUCCGAAUGGGGCAACCCAACUGAUAGAAGAUCAGUUAUCCUGUAAAGGAAGCAAACCCGGAGAACUGAAACAUCUAAGUACCCGGAGGAAGAGAAAACAACAGUGAUUCCCUAAGUAGUGGCGAGGGAACGGG